This 475-nucleotide long non-coding RNA is filed under the name Polistes fuscatus (common paper wasp). RNAcentral's name for it is "uncharacterized LOC122518177, transcript variant X1". Lineage: Eukaryota; Metazoa; Arthropoda; Insecta; Hymenoptera; Vespidae. The record is from RNAcentral.
CUUAUUCGGAUAAAUAUUAUUCAUUUUUAAGGCGUGUAUAUCGAUAAUCGAGAUUCAUGAACGAAGAUUAUUAGAAAAUUUGUCUUCUAAUCUUUUCGAUCUCCACCCCCCACCCCCUGUCCCCGCCCUCGCCCCCGUCUCUCUCAAACUUUCUGUCUAUCUGUCUGUCUGUCUUAUAAGUGUCUCUCUUUCAACGAUAAAGGAUAUAAAUCGUCGUACGAAUCGAUGAUUUUGUUUAAAAGGGGGAAUCGUAUGGGCAACGCGACUACCGGUUUGGUUUUUCUAUUCGAAAUAACGUUAACGUUGACCCAGUUUGUCAAAAGCAAUUAGACUUUUGCGUUGUCGUAGGACUAUACCGCGCGUGUUGAAGGGAAAAGAAAGGAAGAAAAAGAAAAUAAAUACUCGAAGAAAGAAAGAAAGAAAGGAUUCGAUUGGUCGAUCGUCGUCGAGUCAAAGUCGGAUUGUCAAAGUUUGA